AGGAAUAUUGGUCAAUGGGCGCGAGCCUGAACCAGCCAAGUAGCGUGAAGGAUGAAGGUCCUACGGAUUGUAAACUUCUUUUAUAAGGGAAUAAAGUCACCCACGUGUGGGUGUUUGUAUGUACCUUAUGAAUAAGCAUCGGCUAACUCCGUGCCAGCAGCCGCGGUAAUACGGAGGAUGCGAGCGUUAUCCGGAUUUAUUGGGUUUAAAGGGAGCGUAGACGGGCCGUUAAGUCAGCUGUGAAAGUUUGGGGCUCAACCUUAAAAUUGCAGUUGAUACUGGCGUCCUUGAGUACGGUUGAGGCAGGCGGAAUUCGUGGUGUAGCGGUGAAAUGCUUAGAUAUCACGAAGAACCCCGAUUGCGAAGGCAGCCUGCUAAACCGCCACUGACGUUGAGGCUCGAAAGUGUGGGUAUCAAACAGGAUUAGAUACCCUGGUAGUCCACACGGUAAACGAUGGAUACUCGCUGUUGGCGAUAGACUGUCAGCGGCUUAGCGAAAGCGUUAAGUAUCCCACCUGGGGAGUACGCCGGCAACGGUGAAACUCAAAGGAAUUGACGGGGGCCCGCACAAGCGGAGGAACAUGUGGUUUAAUUCGAUGAUACGCGAGGAACCUUACCCGGGCUUGAAUUGCAGACGAAUUGCUUGGAAACAGGCAAGCCGCAAGGCGUCUGUGAAGGUGCUGCAUGGUUGUCGUCAGCUCGUGCCGUGAGGUGUCGGCUUAAGUGCCAUAACGAGCGCAACCCUCGUGUCCAGUUACUAGCAGGUUAUGCUGAGGACUCUGGACAGACUGCCAUCGUAAGAUGUGAGGAAGGUGGGGAUGACGUCAAAUCAGCACGGCCCUUACGUCCGGGGCUACACACGUGUUACAAUGGGGGGUACAGCAGGCAGCUACCGGGCGACCGGAUGCCAAUCCCGAAAGCCUCUCUCAGUUCGGACUGGAGUUUGCAACCCGACUCCACGAAGCUGGAUUCGCUAGUAAUCGCGCAUCAGCCACGGCGCGGUGAAUACGUUCCCG
This 1016-nucleotide ribosomal RNA is filed under the name uncultured bacterium. Its description in RNAcentral is "bacterial SSU rRNA". It matches the Rfam family "Bacterial small subunit ribosomal RNA", at positions 357 to 1376 of the family's 1533-position model. The record is from RNAcentral.